RNAcentral lists this ribosomal RNA (330 nucleotides) under uncultured eukaryote. RNAcentral describes it as "partial 18S ribosomal RNA". It matches the Rfam family "Eukaryotic small subunit ribosomal RNA", at positions 1470 to 1796 of the family's 1831-position model. The record is from RNAcentral.
CCCUUAGAUGUUCGGGGCCGCACGCGCGCUACACUGAAGGAAUCAGCACGUCUUUCUCCUUGUCCGAAAGGACUGGGUAACCCGCUGAACCUCCUUCGUGCUAGGGAUUGGGGCUUGUAAUUCUUCCCCAUGAACGAGGAAUUCCCAGUAAGCGCGAGUCAUAAGCUCGCGUUGAUUACGUCCCUGCCCUUUGUACACACCGCCCGUCGCUACUACCGAUUGGAUGGUGUAGUGAGAUCCUCGGAUUGGUCCCGGAGCGGCCUCUGGUCGUGCCGGAGUGCCGAAAAGAAUGUCGAACUUGAUCAUCUAGAGGAAGUAAAAGUCGUAACA